Molecule: ribosomal RNA, 253 nt
Filed under: uncultured bacterium
Lineage: Bacteria
Description: partial 16S ribosomal RNA
Rfam family: Bacterial small subunit ribosomal RNA
Source: RNAcentral
GACGAAGGUGGCAAGCGUUGCUCGGAAUCACUGGGCAUAAAGCGCGCGUAGGUGGCCUGACAAGUCGGUGGUGAAAUCCCAUGGCUUAACCAUGGAACUGCCGUCGAUACUGUCGGGCUUGAGGACGGUAGGGGAGAGUGGAACUCCUGGUGUAGCGGUGAAAUGCGUAGAUAUCAGGAGGAACGCCGGUGGCGAAAGCGACUCUCUGGGCCGCUCCUGACACUGAGGCGCGAGAGCUAGGGGAGCAAACAGG